CAUCAUCCUUAGGAGACCGUUCCUCACCACCGUUAAAGCAAUCAUCUACAUUGGAACUGGAGAAGUCCACAUGCACUUCCCCUCUGAGAAGGUACGCUGCUAUUUUACUGACCCUAACUAUAUAGUUGAAGACUCUAAGCAGGUCAGGGCAAGAAGAAGAUGACGCAACCGCAACCAAAGGAGGCAAAUCAUCAAGGACGGAUGGGCAGACUAUGAAGGAGAAGUCGUAAGGUCUGAAGACAUACAGCUUGAACAGAACUGUCCUAAGGAGACCGUAGCACCGAGUCAGGUGUGGAGAGAGAAGAUAGUUAUACAUGAAGACCAAGCGCUGCCGGAACCACCGACUACGCCAUCCAGCGAAUUCCACGACAACUAAGAAAACGGAGAGUCCCGUUCGGAGGACUUAAAAGCACCAAACGCCUUGCCAAGAGGUAAACUUGGUAGUUAUCUUUUUCCUUUCAAAUUAUUUAAAAUAGUUUGCUUAGUUAAUCAGGUUCACAUCAUCUUAAAAAGAAAAUAAAAAUGUUAAAAAUAGUAAGCCCCAUGUGAGUAUGCUCAUGGCAUAAAACCCAUAAGUACAUUCACUGUGGUGGCGUAAAAAUAAAUAUAUCUUCCUGUCCUAUAAAAAUGAAAAUAUAAAUAAGAUUAUGAUCCUACUAAAGAGAGUAACAUUUAUUGAGGAGGCUCAACAUGAUAAAGGCUAGAUAUUUAUGCUAACACUUAACUAGUUCCACAAAGCUUUGUUGUCUAUUUGAGCUCCACAGAAUUUAAGGAUCAAAGAAGACUAGCAGACGGAGGACAUCCUAAUCGCUAUCAGGGUGCUACCGACAUUCAAAUACACCUCCGCCACCUGCUAGCUACAUCAGAAGAAAUUACAUCAAAAUCCAGCUUGGGGGAGAGCACCCCCAUUUAUCCAGCUAAGUAUUCUACUCACGUUUAUACUUUACUCUAUUAAUAAAAAGAUGCAUAAUCAUAAAAACCCAAAUAAAGAUUUUGUGCUUAUAUAUAUAUCUUUGCUUAGCUUGCUAAAUAAAUAAAUAAAUAAAGUUUGCUAUGAACCCUCAUGAUAAGCUCUCACAUGGAAAUGAUGAAUAGUUGCUCUGCCAUGAUUAGUUAUCAAAAUUGAAAUCUCUCUCAAGUUUAGGCAUAACUGUUAUUAAUUAAGAUUUGCUCUAAACCUGAACUUGUGGAGAGAGUACUUGAUCUAAAGUCUAAGUCGUUAACGGAUAUGAUAUGGGAAGGUUGAGCUGCUGUUUAUCUGUUCCUAGAGAUGCUAGAAUUCUGGAGAAUUUUAUCUUUGAAAAUCUUUAAAAUGUUGCAUGAUGAGUUCCUGUAUGAUGAGAGUUUAAAUUCCUACCACAGCCAUAUAUACAUGCUUGCUAGACUAUGAACCACACAUUUACUUUACUACUUAUGAGCAUUGAGUGUGGUCAAGCUGUGUAGACCCUUAGGAGCUUGUCAUGUGGUUAAAAUCAAGAUUCACUUGCACGUUCACUCAUACAUGCUGCUUCUACUCCGGAAGUACGCAUCCACAUAUAUCCAUCCAUUUCCAUCUCGAGAACCACCCAAAAAUAUUCUACUCCUAAUCCGGGAGAGAAUAGCCAAAAAUAUUUCUAUUUUUCCCCUAUGAAAUAAAUGCUCAAGUUAUCUUGUUACUACCACUUGCGAUAUUAUCUCAUGAGAUGAGUGCUCUAAUAAAAAAAAGAAAAAAAAAAGAGAUACGAGGAAAUAAAAAGGGGCAAGUGCCCGAAACCUCGAAAAAAAAAGUGAGACGAGAGGUAAAAAUAGACAAGUGUCCGAUAGUAGAAUUAGGGGUACAAGAUACCCACCUGAGAGAAAAGAAAAAAAAGAAAAAAAAAGAAAAUAUAGAGCAUCUCAUUCUCCUCAAAAAGUUUCAAAAGAGCAAGAAAGGUAUGUAUCCCCUCAAAAGAGCACAAGUAGAAUUAGACUUUCACCAUUGUUUUCACCAUUGUUAUCACCAUCAUUACCAUACACCAUUCAUUCGCCACACAUUCACAUCUUGAUUUGACUUAUUGACUUGUUCUUCUGGAUCCAUAGUUUGACUAUGCAAUAAAUGUCUUGUAAGUAUGUAUUAGCUGUCUCCCACCUAUGAGCUCCAGAUAUCAAAAGCCUUAUUAGAGUAGGGUGAGAGAGAAGGCAAUGUCACUAUGCCUUAUACUACAAAUACCACAUACUUUGAGAGAAGGCAUAUACCAUUACUGCCUUGGUAAGGAUCCAGAAAUACCUCAAAAGAGAGACUAGAGAGAGUCAUACAAGGAAUCUCUGAGUUUUAUUUGAAAAUCUGCAAAAACUCCAGAACUAUAGCUGAUCAAGAAUAAGAGACAUGGUGCUUGACUAGACCGUUCUAUCUUUUAACUACUCAAGACAGAAGUGUCGGUUACAAGUCCCAUGGUGAAAGGUAAAUGAGUAAGUUUUAAGUCUUAACAGUUCACUCUAACCAGAGAUGAGAUCUUGUUUAAACGCAUGUGUAUCCUUAAGUUAUGAAACCACUGCAGAAACUCUUGAGUUAAUCUUUACUCAGGGACGAGCAAAGGUUAAGCUUGGGGGAGCUUGUUGACGGUCCUCAAUGCACAUAUUUAACCAUCAAUUAAUCAUAGAAAAGUAUCCAAAUGCAACCAACACCUAGACUUAGGGUUUUAUCUGAUAGAAUUCCACGAGUUUGGUGUUUGUCUAUUUCUGCAGGGGGUUAUCAGGAAAUAUGGAGGAAAGGCCCACACGUCGGGUUUACAUAGAGAUAUUAACGUGCCGAGCAAUUUUCUAUCAUCUAGAAGACUCCAGAAGCCACGGGACCGAAGCGGAAGCCGAGAGGCCUUAGGGACAGGGCGCCCGCCCUAGUCUUGAGGGCGCCCGCCCUCCCCCCUGGACCAAUCAGGGUGAAGUUCGGGGAUCAUGCUCCACCGACCUAAUACUUCAAGGAAAACCACACGAUCAAUGUCGGUUUGAUCCGACGGCCCAGAUUCACUUGAAGGGACUAUAAAACUAGACCCCCCUGGCCCCUGGAGAUCAUACCUCUUCUACAGAAUCAAAGCUAGGGUUUCAAUUCUUCAUCCAAGUAGAGAGGAUCCCUCUAGUUCUUCUAGUUCUACCUCUAGUUCAUCUAGAUCUAGUUCUAGUUCAUCUAGUUCUAGUUCUAGUUCUUCUAGUUCUAGUUCUAGUUAGUUUUAGUUGUAAUCUAGAAAAUAGGGAGAGAGAAGAGGAGAGCGGAGGAGGAGCCGGAUCUGUCGGAUCUUCCUCAACAUUAUACUUUUGCAGCAACUGGUUCGUUCUUCAUCGUUAUCCAGGUUCUUCAAUUCAUAAUUCCUGAGUUCUCUAAUUACUUUUAUUUACAUUCAAGUUAUUUAUUGGAUUCCCGCUUGCAUCAAGUGCUCUAGUCUUUAUAACGCUAGAGUAGUAAUUAAUAGAUUAGACGUGGUGUUUAGUCUUGCGAUUACCUGGAAUUGCACCCAAUCCCACGGAUUGUUGUGGUAGCCCUAGGGUAGUGACAGCCCUAACGGUCGACGUAUUCCACCACGUUCGGAUUGGUGUUUGUAGGACCGUAGUCAGACCUUCCUAGCCCCCUUCUCAUCUCUUUCUGUGGUUAGUGCUCUGAUGUCCCGAUAUAGAUAAUCUUGAAGUAAUUCUUGAUUCUUAGAUCAACUAGAGAACUCUCAGGAAACUUCCUCUCUUCCCAUCAAAAAUAAUUAUAUAGUUAUCCUUGGGCGAUCUUGGAUCUUAAUUAGUACACUCACGUUCUCUGUGCAAAAUCGAUACUCUGGAAUACUCCCGGGUGAAGGCUACAUCGGUAUCCGUGCGCUUGCGGAUUUUUCUGUUUGCGUUUAAAAUACCCAACAAUGCUUAUGUUAUGCAUGUGAUUAAUGCAACCAUAACACUGGGGUGUUACAUUUGGCGUAUCGACAAAACAAUUUUUGGGUUUCAUGGUGCAUCAGAGGGGGAUUGAGAUUAGGAGGAGAUCUGUUGAUGCAAUCAACAAAGUAGUUGCUCCUACCGAUAAAACUGAGCUUCAGUCCUUGAUCGGCAAGAUUAAUUUUAUCAGACGAUUUAUAUCCAAAUUGUCGAGUAAGAUUCGAGCUUUCAGCCAUUUGCUUAAAUUGAAAGCCAAUCAAGAAUUUGUAUGGGGAAAAGAGCAACAAUUGGCUUUGGAUGAAAUUAAGAAUUAUUUGGCAAAUCCUCCAGUAUUGGUUCCACCUCAGCAUGGAAAGCCUUUUAGGUUAUAUUUGUCGACCGAUGAUGCGGUUAUCGGUUCAGCUCUCAUUCAAGAAUUUGAAGGAAAAGAAUGUGUAAUUUAUUACUUAAAUAGGAGAUUGGUAGAUGCGGAGACAAGGUAUUCGGCUAUUGAAAAAUUAUGCUUGUGCCUGUCUUUUCUUGUAUUAAGUUGAGACAUUAUUUGCUAUCGGCCGAAUGUACUGUCAGAUGCAAUGAUGACAUGGUCAGAUACAUGUUGUUGAUGCCGAUUAUGAGUGGUAGAAUCAGCAAAUGUAUACUAGCAUUAUCAGAAUUUGACUUACGUUAUGAAUCGGCUAAGGCAGUUAAGGGACAGAUCGUGGCCAAUUUUGUUACUCAGCAUUGUGGUUUGGUGGGUGCUUUGGAGAUUGCUCAUUGGACACUCUUCUUUGAUGGAUCUACAUGUGAUCAAGGGGCAGGUAUCGGCAUAGUAUUGAUUUCUCCCUGGGGAAAGAAAUUUGAAUUUUCUUUGCCGAUUGUUGCUACAUCAACGAACAAUCAGGCUGAGUACCAAGUCCUAAUCAAAGGAUUAGAGUUAUUAAAGGAAGAUCAUGCCGAUGCUGUCAAAAUCUUUGGAGAUUCUAUGCUUGUCAUAAAUCAAUUGGCUGGGAUUUACGAGUGCCGAAGUGAGAUUUUGAUAGCAUAUUACGAAAGGUGUUUACAAUUGUUAAAGGAAUUCAAGGAUUUCCGCUUGGAGCAUAUUCCUCGAUUACAUAAUGAAGAAGCUAAUCGGUUAGCUCAACACGCCUCAGGAUAUCAACCUAUCUUGGAAGUGCUAUCGGUAAUCAGUAUCGAUGACUGGAGAAAAGAAAUUAUUGAUUAUCUAAAAGAUCCAUCUAGGAAAGUUGAAAGACGUGUUAGAUUUCAAGCUACUAAAUAUGUACUCCUUGAGGAUGAAUUAUAUUAUCCAACAAUAGAUGGAGUGUUGCUUAGAUGUUUAAGUAAUGAUGAAUCCAAAAACUUGAUGGGUGAAAUUCAUGAGGGGGUAUGUGGAGCACAUCAAUCGGCUUUUAAAAUGAAGUGGAUGAUUAGAAGGAAUGAAUAUUAUUGGCCGACUAUCCUUGAGGAUUGUUUCAAAUAUUUCAAAGGGUGUCAAGGAUGUCAGAAGUUUGGUAAUAUUCAAAGGGCACCUGCGUCAGCUAAGAAUCCUAUUAUUAAACCUUGGUCAUUCUGGGGUUGGGCUAUUGAUCUCAUCGGUCAAAUUUAUCAACCAUCGAGUAAAGGGCAUAAGUUUAUCCUUGUUGCCACUAAUUAUUUCACUAAGUGGGUUGAGGCUAUCCCUUUUAGGAAAGUAACAUCGACCAAUAUGAUUGAUUUUGUGAAGGAACAUAUUGUUUACCGAUUUGGCAUUCCUCAAACAAUCACUACCGAUCAAGGUACUAUGUUUACAUCAGGAGAGUUUGAUGAAUUUGCAAUCGGUAUGGGGAUUAAGGUGAUGAAUUCUUCUCCUUACUAUGCUCAAGCCAAUGGAUAGGCCGAAGCUUCCAACAAAGGGAUUAUUAAGCUUAUUAAACAGAAGAUUGAGGAAAAUCCUAGGCGAUGGCAUACUCUGUUAAAUAAAGCCUUAUGGUCAUGUUGGAUGGCGUGUCACGGUGCAACCAAAGUGUCACCUUAUCAAUUGGUAUAUGGACAUGAUGCAGUACUACCUUGGGAAAUUAAAACUAGUUCUAGGUGGAUAUUUUCUCAGGAUCAAUUAACUACUGCUGACUAUACCACUCUGAUGAAAAAUGAGUUGGAAGAUUUAGCAGGACAUCGGUUAAGAGCUUUAAUUAGCAUAGAAGAAAAUAAAAAAGAGAGUGGCUAAGUAGUAUGAUAAAAAGGUAAAAUCCAAGGAGUUUGCUGAUGGGGAUUUGGUCUGGAAGUUAAUUCUACCAAUUGGGACUAAAAGUUCAAAAUUUGGAAAAUGGUCUCCUAAUUUGGAAGGUCCUUAUCGGAUAAGUCGAUCUGCCCCAGGCAACGCUUAUAUUUUAGAAAGUCUCAAAGGAGUUGAAUUCCCCAGGGCAUUAAACGGAAAAUAUUUAAAAAGAUACUACCCCAGUAUCUAGGUUGAUGCAUAAAAGUUUAAGUGCCGAUACCAGUCCUAUCGGCUGAACAAAAUGACAAUGUAUCUGGAUCAACGCAUUGGAAGUUUUGGUGCCAAUAACAAUCCUAUCGGCUGGAUCAAAUGCUGAUGUUUUCAAAAGAACUGAUAAGCCAUACUGCCAAUGAAGAGAUUUACAAGUUUAACAAAGUUUGGAUAGCCGAUAUCGCACGCAGGCUAAUUUGAUUAGCUUCCUCUAUCUCUUUGGUAUCUUCAUCGGCUGAGCCUUCCACUGGUUUCAAUCUCUUCUUUAUUUGCAAUGCCUUGCGGGCUUGGGCAUCCCUCUCCUGCUGAAGAUCUCUGAGUACGUCGGGUAGUUGACUUUCCUCCUAUUGAGCUUGGGCCAAAGCUUCUUCUACUUGUUUGAGUUCAGCAAGCAGAGCCUCUCUCUUUGCCGAUAAAUCAGAGAUUUUCUAUUUUAGUUCAACACCUAAGGAUUGCAAAAUGUCGAUGCUCUUAUGCUUCUCAUCGGCAGCACGCUUCACUUGCAAAAUCUCUUCUUUGAGUUGGGCGUGGGCGGUUCUAUCUGCAAGGCGCUGAACGGCCUUUUGAUACUAAAGUUGGCGGCUCUCCAGAUGGGUGGCUUGAAAAAGUAUCUCCACAACAUCGGCAGGAAUCUUAUCGCGAAGACCCUUAAAGAUGGUUUUGGCCAGAUCAGAGUCAUCUACUAGCAGAGUUGUAUCCUGCUGCAAUAGAGCUAGUAAAUUUUCUAGCUUGGAUUUGAUCUCUACCGGUGCAAUUCCGAGCGCCAUUGAAGAACUUGCCUCUUCACUAUCAUCAUCAUAGAUGUCGAUGGCAAAGGAGAACAGGCUAUCAGGAGAGUCUUGUUCCUAGAAGCAGAGGAAAAUAAAUUAACUAGAGUUAAGUACCGAUAAUACAAUGUCUAGUGGAUCGGGUAAGUUUACUUGUUUCAGAGCAAUUUCUUGUCUCUGACUUGGAGAUGUGGCUUGCACUAUGACUUGAUCGGUUGGGGCUGCUAGUGGAAUAUCUUCAACUGAAAUUGCCAAAGGUGAUGAUGGUAUUUAUAAAGGGUCCAUCGGUAAUAAUUUUAUGAUCGGUACUUUACCUUGAGGAGAGAUGAUGAUCGUCUGUUCAGGAGGAACGGCCGAUGAAGUACCUACGUCAACUGGAUCGGUGACCUGCUCAGAUACAUCGACCAGGUCUGCUUGCGUCUGGGGCACUGGAUGAGGUGGAGAAGAGGGUGCUGCUUGGAUCUGGGGUUGUCACACCCAUAUUUUAAGAACAAAAUAGGAUGCAUAAAAGACUCAUAUGUGCCCCAGGAAUAGUCGCACACAUAAGUAGACAAAUCUCAAAUGUACCAUCGCAGUGUUUAUUACAUAGCAGAACAUAAUAAAUCAUAUAGUCUUAUACAUAAAUGAUAGCAAGAUGUAAACAACGCUCUCGACGGAAGCUCCACAUAGGGACACUAUUGACUGGUUGACUCCAAACCUAGUACUCAUAACGGUAGUCCUCAUUCCAAUCAUCAUCAUUAGCAUAACCUGGGUGUUGGGAAAUUGCAAGAGUGAGCACAUAUCGUACUCAACAAGUAUAACCAGGGGUUCAUGAGGCUCAAAUAGCUGACGCUGGUUUGACUUUAUUUAGCUUUUAAUAGUGGAUAGCAUAUUCAUAAUUUAAAUAGCAAUUUUCAAGGUAGCAUAAAUAAUCCAUUAAUCACAUGAUCAAGUGUAAGCAUAAUUAAUCUCAUAGCAUAAAUGAUAAUCAAAUGAACAUAAUAACUUAACAAGCUCAUCGUCGUCGUAGCAAGAACCCCCAAGGCCGCUCAUAACCGUAAGCAUGGCUAGUAUACCAGUUUUAACACCCUGCAGAGGUUGUACAUCUUUACCCAUGAGUCAUGAUUUACCCUUUCGCCCGAGGUAGCUAGUCUCUUCACCCCCUUCCUAGGGAGGUCGGCAGGGAUCACUAUGAAGCCUUUCAAAAGUUUGUCUAACAUGUUAGGGCCGCAAGGUUUCCUUUGCGCGCAGAUAUAGAUACCCCCUUCCGAAUGGCACAAUGACGCGCAACCUAUACACAUAGGGAUAGGGGCUCGCACCCAAAACGGUUCAGCCCCUCCGCCCUUUCGGGUCAUGCUGAGCUAAAGCCACAGCCAUUAUAGCCCUCAUGGUUGCACUGUUGUCCCGGUGAUCACUUACAGACAAGAUCUCAUAUAGUUAUUUGUCAUCAUUUAACGUUCAUUGCAUAGCUAUUAAUCAUCUUACAAGAUCAUGGAUUAUAUCAAGCACUAGCACAUCAGCACCAAAUGCAUAUCAAGUAGGUAACAAGGAAUCCAGGUAACAAUCAUCUAUGAUUUUGCUAAGGUCGACAAUGUGAUAGCAUGCAUAUGAUAUAUAUGUGUAGUUAUAAGUGAAUAGGUAACAAGGAUGAUCCCAAGUUAUACUUGCCUUGAUCAAAGCUCUCCUGAGCCUACUGGUCUUCAAAAGCUUGGUCUUGAUCACCAAUGUACGGCUCACCGUCUAUUUCCAAACAUCAAUCAACAACAUGCAAUCCAAUGUAGACAAUCAUACACAAGGCAAACAAGCUAUAAUUAGAACAUUACACCAACUGUAAGAAAUCAAAGAUAAAAUUUUAUGAAAAUAUUCUACGCAGCGCUACGAUCACACAAACGUAAAGUUCACGAAAAUCGGAAUUAAAACGUAGAAGAUAUGAAUUUUCUAAGAUUUCCUAUAGAGAAAUAAUUAACUAAAUGCUACUGCAGAAAUAAAAAGUUUCAAAACAGUAAACUAAAACUUCUAACAUGUAGAGCUCGUAAAUAUGAAUCUAACGAAAUUUGAAUGGACAAAAACAGAGUUGAAAUGAAUAUUUUAUGAGGAAAAUAAACCCAAUGGCAAAACUGUAAAUACUGAAAAACGCCUUUUUCCUCAAACCGACUAUAAGCUUUUAGAAUCAAAACACGUAAUCUCCUCUAGGGCACCAUGGACUGCGGGUCGAUUUCCAAAUUCACCAGGGGAUCUUUAUGAAAAAGUGCAGCGAAGGGGUAUGUUCUGUUUUGGGCCCUUAGAUCUUGAUCCAACGGCUCGGGCGCGUCCAGGGGGCCAGUGGCGGCGGGCCGGCCGGAGUUGCGCCUCCCCGCGGCGGCGCCAUGGGAGUGCUCGCCGGAGUCCACCGAUUCCUUGAUUCUGAGCGCCAAUCAACGAAAGAAAAACACCGGGAGGGCGAGAAGCUCACCGCGACCUCGCUGGGACCCUUUGCUUGGUCCGAGAGGUGAUGAAAACAGCUCGCGGCGUGCGGCGGUGGACUUGGCUCUCGGCGAGAUUCAAACCGUGCAUGGGCUGGCGUCUAGGGCUUGGUUUCCGUGGCGAGCGUGGAAAACAACAUGCGGGGCGAUGCUGGGGUUUAAAUAGGGGUCGAUAUGGCAAGAAAUCUCAGAGUUUUCGGGUUGGAAAGUUAUUAGCUCGGGUCGGUUAUCCCCAACUGAGCCCUGUUCGUCCUCGGCGCGAGAAGGAAGAGGAACGGCGCCCGCCAGGUGGGGUCGCCUCGCCAGCGAGAGGGAGGUGGGGCCUGCUGGUCAGAGAGAGAAGAGGGGAAGGGAGCUGCGCUGGGCCGCGGCUGGCCUGCUCGGCUGGGCCGGGAUGGGCCGUGCGCUGGGGGACAGGGUGCUGGGCUGCGGCCUACGGCCAAGACGAGAGGGGAGAGGCGUUUGGCUGGGGUUUUCCUUUUUUUUCUUUUUUUAAUCUCUUUUCUAUAGCUUUUGAGAAGAGUUUUUAAAUCCUUUUGGAGAUAAACAGAAUACAUAGACAAAAAGCAAACAAGCGAGUAAAUAAAUAAAUUAAUUUCAGCAUGAAUGCACAACCUUGUUUCUAAACUUAUAAUGAAUUUUAAUUUUGACAAAAACAUUUUAUUUACUAGAUUAAAUGCCCACAAAAUUGCUUAAAUAAAUCAAAUUAAAUCCUAUUAUUUGAAAACCAAAUUUUGGGUGUUACAAACUCUACCACCCUUAAAAGAAUUUCGUCCUCGAGAUUGAAAGGUGCUUACUCAAACAAGUAUGAUUAUGAUUUCCUCAGGUCAUCCUCUCUUUCCCAAGUUGCCUCUGCUUCCGAUUACCAAUUCCACUGCACUUUGCACAUUCUGAUGACCUCACUUCUGGUGACUCUCUCAGUUGUCUCCAAUAUUCUGACCGGAUAUUCUUCAUAAGUGAGAUCACCUUUAACAGAAAGCUCUUCCAAUGGUAUUUGCUCCUCUGGUACACGCAAACACUUCUUAAGUUGUGACACAUGGAACACAUCAUGCACACCAGAUAAACUUUCAGGAAAUUCUAAUUGAUAUGCUACUUCUCCACGCCUUUCCAAUACUUUAAACGGACCAACAUACCUUGGAGCUAGCUUUCCCUUCAUAUUAAACCUCUUCACACUCCUCAUUGGUGAUACUUUCAGGUAUACAUAAUCACCCACCUCAAAAGCCAGCUCUCUCCUACGCGUACCUACAUAUCUUUUCUGACGAGAUUGAGCAACUCUCAAGUUAUCCCGAAUGGACCGCACUUGUUAUUCUGCAUGUCUAAGCACAUCUGUCCCAAACACCUGAGUUUCUCAUGUCUGAUUCCAAAACAAAGGUGUCCUGCACUUCCGACCAUACAGUGCCUCGAACGGUGCCAUCUUAAGACUUUGCUGAUAGUUAUUGUUGUAGGAGAAUUCUACAUAUGGCAAACUCUUGUCCCAACUAGUUCCAUACUGCAAAGCACAAGCUCUCAACAUAUCCUCCAGUAUCUGAUUGAUCCUCUCAAUCUGUCCAUCUGUCUGUGGAUGAUAUGCUGUACUAAAAUUUAACUUUGUUCCCAAGGAAUCAUGCACUGCUUUCCAAAAGUGAGAUGUGAAUUGAGUACCCCUAUCUGACACAAUCUUCUUAGGUACUCCAUGCAAACAAACAAUUCUCUGCAUAUAUAACUCUGCCAGUCGGUCUCCACUAUAUGAAGUUUUGACAGGUAUGAAAUGAGCAACUUUGGUUAAACUAUCCACUAUCACCCAUAUUGAGUCAUACCCUCCUUGUGUAUGAGGUAAACCCACUAUGAAAUCCAUGCCUACUUCUUCCCACUUCCAUUCAGGAAUCUUCAUUGGUUGCAACAGUCCAGCUAGCCUCUGAUGUUCAGCUUUCACUCGCUGACAAGUGUCACACAAAGCAACAUACUCAGCUACAUCUCUCUUUAAACCAUAGCACCAGUACUUCUGUUUCAGAUCUAGAUACAUCUUAGUGCUACCAGGGUGAAUGGAAUAUGCUGACUCAUGAGCCUCUCUCAGAAUCAUAUCAUGAAUAGCCUUCACUUCAGGAACACAUAUCCUUUUUCCAAACCACAAUACACCAUUGUCAUCUAUUCUGAAUCCUGGUGCUUUGCCUAGUACCACAUUCUGUGCUAUCUCCUUUAGUUUCUCAUCUUCCAACUGUCCUUUCAAUAUCUCUUCCUCUAGAGUAGGAGUGACCUCAAUUUCCAUCGCAUUUACUACAAUUCCCCAGAUCAAAUAUGCAAAUUCAGCACACAACUCCUCAGAUUCAGGUGUCGCCCGAAGCUCAUUAGCAUAUUUCUUCUUGCUAAGUGCAUCGGCUACGACGUUCACCUUUCCAGGAUGAUAAUGCACUUCCAAAUCAUAAUCCUUUAUCAGUUCCAACCAUCUUCGUUGCCUCAGAUUCAGAUCUGUCUGGGUGAAGAUAUACUUUAAACUCUUAUGAUCAGUAUAUAUGUCACUCUUAUGCCCAAUCAAAUAGUGUCUCCAAAUCUUCAAUGCAUGCACCAUAGCUGCUAACUCUAGAUCAUGAGUAGGAUAAUUCAGUUCAUGUUUCCUCAACUAUCUAGAUGCAUAAGCAACAACUCUACCUUCUUGCAUAAGGACACAACCCAAACCCAGACGAGAAGCAUCACAAUAGAUAGAGAAACUCUUACUCAGAUCUAGCAAUACCAACACAGGUGCAGUAGUCAAUCUCUUCUUAAACUCCUCAAAACUAGCUUGACACUUAUCAAACCAUACAAACUUAGCAUUCUUCUCCAAUAGAGCAGUCAUAGGCUUUGCAAGCUUUGAGAACCCUUCAAUGAAUCUACGAUAGUAACCAGCUAAACCUAGAAAACUAUGAAUUUCACUUACAUCUGUAGGUGGUUUCCAAUUCAGCACAUCUUUCACCUUACUAGGAUCCAUUGCAAUACCACCAUGAGAGACAACAUGACCAAGAAAAGAAACUUCUUCCAACCAAAACUCACAUUUACUACGCUUAGCAUACAGCUUAUGUUCUCUAAGUUUCUGUAAGACCAAUCUCAGAUGUUCAGCAUGUUCUUCCUUGGUUUUAGAGAAUACCAGAAUAUCAUCAAUAAAGACCACCACAAACUUAUCAACAUACUCCAUAAAUACUUUAUUCAUCAUGUAGAUAAAGUAAGCUGGUGCAUUGGUCAAACCAAAAGACAUAACUGUAUACUCAUACAACCCAUACCUUGUUGUGAAAGCUGUCUUUGGUAUAUCUGAAUUCUGAAUCUUCAAUUGAUGAUAACCAGAACGCAAAUCAAUCUUAGAGAACACACAAGUGUUGACGGUCCUUAAGUAUCAAAUUUAAUUAUCAAAUAAAUAAAGAAAAGGAUCCAAAUGAAAUCAAGAUCUAGUCUUAGGGUUUUAUCUGACAGAAUUCCACGAGUUUUGGUGUUUGUCUAUUUCUGCAGGGGGUUAUCAGGAAAUAUGGAAGAAAGGCCCACAUGUCAGGAUUACGUAAAGAUAUUAACGUGCUGCGCAAUUAUCUUACAUCUAGAAGACUCCAGAAGCCACGAGACCGAAGCGGAGGCGAAACGGGGCCUGACCCUGGGCGGCCGCCCAGUUGGUCAGGGCGCCCGCCCUGCCCCUGAGUCCAAUCAGGACUCUACUUUGCGGGAGAUCUCCACCGACCUAAAGGAUGAAUCUAAACCGUACAAUCUAUGUCGGUUUGAUCCAAGGGUCCAUAUUCACUUGGAGGGACUAUAAAACCAGACCCCCUGGCCCCUGGAGGAGGGAGCCUCUCAACCCUAAUUCAUUGUUCCAUCAAGGGAGAAGAAGCCUCUGAUCAAGAUUAGAGCCACCACAUCAAUUAGAUAUCUAGAUUAGCAUAGCUACAUAGGAUUAGAACUAGAAGGAGUCAAUCUUCGAUUGGUUUCCGGCUCUGUCAAGAGGAUUCUUGGUAAUUCUCUAAUUGUGCUUCUAAUUGCUUUCUAAUUAUCUUUGUUUUUCAAUAUUAUGAAUAUGACUUUGUUCUACUUCAAUAUAUUGCUUAUGACUUUGCUCUACUUGUUUAUAUUCAAGAUUAUAUUGUUCUUAGUUUAUCAUGGUUAUGUACUUGGCUUAGUUAGAUACGAUCUAUAUACAUGCUUAGGAUCAUAUAGCGUUUAUCAAUCGGAUCCAUGGGUAAAUGAUAGAUAUUGUGUAGGCGUGGUGCUUAUACCGUAUUUAUCUGCGAUUGUACCCAAUAUGCCAGAUCGUGGGGUGGUUCGUGAUAGUGACAGCUUCAUUGAUUCUUAUAUAGUCCCCCUCUCGUGUAUUGGGCUGGCAGAGCAACAUUAUUAUAGGGGAGUGAUUGCUAUGUUUCUCAUAUUCCUUGCUAAUAUCACUAUGCAUGGGCGUAGUCUUGUCUCACAAUGAUUGCUAAGUAUGCUUGCACUAACUAUAAUAAUGCUAGACUAUAUAGUUAAGAAUAACUUAGGGAAUAUUCUUGUAGUUCAUUCUAAUACCAUGCUAAUGACUUUCUAGAGUAUCUAAUUGAGGUGCUUAUCAUAUUUAUUAUGUGGCUAGAUCAGAUUAGUUAUCCUUGUCACUAUUAUUAUUUCAUAUAUCUUUUAUGUGACACUUAUCCCUGUAUGAAGAGUUAGAUAUAAUGUUCUCAAUUAUACAUGCAAUGAUAGAUGCUCAAUCUCAUAUUCUAUUCUGUAAUCAAUAUUGAUGAUUGCUAAUCCCUUCCCAGUGGUAAAAAUAUAAAUAACGAUACCUGGAAUACUUCCCGGUUAAAAUGCUGCAUCGGUAUUAAUCUGUGCGCUUGCAGAUCCCAUUCAUUAUUUAUUUAGAAGAGCAAUUGCAUAUUUCAAUACCGCGUCUCUCAUGUCAUGCUGGGGAUGACAACUUGGCUUAAGUGGUGUGAGGGAUAGGUUUGGCAUUUUUGGCACCGUUGCUAGAUUUAGAACUUAGUCUACUUUUAGUAAUGAUGUUAAGAAUACCCAACAAGCAUUUUUGGCGCCGUUGCCGGGGAAGGUUGAUUACUAAUCAGGAAUGGAAUAAAGGAUUUUGAGUUAUCAUUCGCAUCACUAAUAUGAUUGAGCUUAUCUAUUCUCUCAUACAGUUUUACCCCGAUAUUUUCUAUUUUUAUCUUAUGCAGGGGAAUGUAUGAAUAGAAGACAUCUUCCAGGAAAUUUUGUUGACAAUCCUGAAGCAUUAUUCAAGAAGACAAGAGCCAAGCUAAAGAAAUCAUCAACACUUCAGCAAGAAGCUUCAUCCAAUCAAGAAGAUCACCGGAACUUGUCUUCAGAGUUCGAAGCCAUGGCAAACAAAUCAAUCCGCGAGUUCUCAGCUCCCACUACGGACAACAUCCGCACUGGACCUGCUGCAGAGAUCGAUGGCAACUUUGAGCUCAAGCCUGGACUUAUCAACAUGGUGCAAUCCAACCAGUUCUGUGGGAAGGCACACGAAGAUGCUAGUGCUCAUUUACAACACUUCCUGGAGAUUUGCAACACAUUCACCAUACAAGGAGUUUCCAAAGAUGCUAUACUACUUCGCCUCUUCCCAUUCUCACUGUUAGGAAGAGCGAAGCAGUGGUUCUACGCUACAAAGGAGAAGAAUACUACCUGGGCACUCUGCUCAACAAACUUCCUGGCUAAGUUCUUUCCCAUGGGCAAGACCAAUGCUCUCCGUGGGAAGAUUACAAGUUUUCAGCAACAAAAUGAUGAAUCUGUUCCAGAAGCAUGGGAGCGCUUUCAAGACUACAUCCUAGAAUGUCCCCAUCAUGGAAUGGAGAGUUGGCUAUUGAUGCAGACGUUUUAUCAUGGGCUCGGCAACAGUGCCCGAGAAACCAUGGAUGCUGCAGCUGGAGGAGCAUUCUUAUCACUUACUAUACCACAAGCCACAGCUCUUGUGGAGAAGAUGGCGUCCAAUCAAAGCUGGAAUGAAGAGAGGAGCCAGACACGCAAGAGAGGUGGAGGUAUGCAUCAGCUGUAGGAGGUAGACAUGCUGUCUGCAAAGCUAGACCUGCUCAUGAAGAAGCUCGAUGAUAGAGCUGGAGACAAGAAAGAAGUUAUGCACAUCUACGACUCUCACAUGACUUGUGAGGAGUGUGGAGACACUAGACACUCAGGCAAUCACUGCCCUGAGAUACUUGAGGAUGUGAACUACAUCAACAACAACAACAACAACUACUACUACAACCGUCCUCAACAAAAUCAAGGUUGGAAUCAACAGAGGCCUAACUACUCAGGUAAUUAUCAAGGUAACAAUUCUUACAACAAUAACAAUAAUUUUCCACCUUUGAGAGAGUUAGUAUCUAAUCAAGGAAAGCUAAUGGAUAACCUAUCUAAGAAAUUGGCAUCUAAUGAUAAAAUGCUAGAAAAUAUAAAUAAUAGAAUGGAUAAUUUCUCUACUGCCAUCAAGAAUCAAAUUAGCUUUAAUAAAAUGAUUGAAUCUCAGUUAAAUCAAAUAGCUGCUGCUGUUCCAACUACUAACCCCGGUACACCAUCACAACCGGGAGGAUUAGAAUCUGCAAAUCUUGUAGACAUGUUUGAUGCAGGUAAUUGGAGUAACCCCGUCAAUGAAUUUUCUACUGACCUUCUGCCGGUCAAGAGAGGCGAUCCAGGACGCCCCGUCAUCCCGAUCUCCAUCGGCAUGGUGGACUUCCCAGAAGCACUCUGUGACUUUGGCUCCAGUGUCAACAUUAUACCUAGGGUACUCUAUGAAAAAUUCUUUACAUAUCCUUUACUAGAGACAACCAUGUGUUUGCAGUUUGCAGAUCAAACGAUAACUUUCCCAAAAGGAAUAGUGAGGAAUCUUUGUAUCCAAGUUGGUACCUUGUAUGCCCCAGCAGACUUCGUAGUGGUAGAGACCGGAAAUGAUGAGAGAGCACCUAUCAUCUUAGGGAGGCCAUUCUUGAAUACCACGGGAGCUAUCAUCUACGCCAGUGCUGCCAAGAUCAGUUUCUACGUCAAAGGGAAGAAGGAGACAUUUUUCUUCAAGAACAAGACUACACAAAUUCCAGAUCAAUCCAGACGUAAAUCAAGGAAGAGGACCAACAGGAGAAACAGGAACAAGCAAGUGUGGACCGAGUCAGCUAAGAUGGUCACUGUAGUUCAUGGAGGCCAAGAUCAUCAACUUAAGUCACCGUGUUUGACCAAGAAGGAUGACCCAGGAAUGCCCAGCAUUUACUGCUCCAUAAAUGGAUACAACUUCUACAAGACAUUUUGUGACACCGGAUCGGGCGUCAACAUAAUGGCCGCAGUCACCUAUCGGCUUUUGUUCGGAACCAUGCCUCUAAGACCAACAUACAUUCAGCUCCAGAUGGCAGAUCAGACAUUUCGAGAAGUUAAAGGAACAGUAACUGAUGUCCUAGUCAAAAUAGACGAUCACUUUGUCUACACAGACUUUCAAGUUGUUGACAUGGGAGAAGAUGAAUAUGAUCCACCCAUCAUCCUUGGAAGACCGUUCCUCAGCACCGUUAAAGCAAUUAUCUACAUUGGAACCGGAGAAGUCCAUAUGCACUUUCCGUCAGAGAAGGUACGUCGUUACUUUACUGACCCUAACUAUAUCGUUGAAGAAUCUAAGCAGGUAAGGAAAAGAUGCAACCGCAACCAGAGGAGGCAGAUCAUCAAGGACGGAUGGGCAGACUACGAAGGGGAAGUUAUAAGGUCAGAAGACGUAGAAUUUAAAUAGAAUUAUCCAGAGGAGAUUGAAGCACCAAGUCAGGUAUGGAAAAUGAAGAUAACUAUACAAGAAGAGGAGGCGCUGCCGGAAGUACCGACUACGCCACCCAACGAACCUCAGGACGAUUAAGAAAUUGGAGAGUCCCGUUCGGAGGACUUAAAAACACCGAACGCUUUGCCAAGAGUUCCACAAGCUUUGUUGUCUAUUUGAGCUCCACAGAAAUUUAAGAAUCAAGAAGACUGGCAGACGGAGGACAUUCUAAUCGCUGUCAGAAUGCUGCUGACUUUCAAAUACACCUCUACCACCUGCUAGCUACACCAAGAGAAAUUACGUCAAAAUUCAGCUUGGGGGAGAGCACCCCCAUUUAUCACGAUAAGUAUUUCUAUCUAUCUUUAUACUUAUAUUAUUUUAGAAUAUUAAAAUACACAUAAACUAUGGGAAAACCAAAUAAAGAUUUUAUGCUUAUAUAUAUAUCUUUUGCUUAGUGUGUUUAAUAAAUAAAUAAAGUGGCUAUGCUAAUCUGUAUCUAAAUAAAACUUAAGCAUGGAUAUGAUAAAUAGUUGCUCUGCCUAAUUUGCAAAUUUUAAGUUCUCUCUCAAGUUUAGAUAUAACUGUUAUAAUUUAAAGCUUGCUCUAGACCUAAACUUGUGGGAUGAAAACUUGAUCUGAAGUCUAAGUUGUUAACGGAUAUGAUAUGGGAAGGUUGAGCUGCUGUUUAUCUGUUCCUAGAGAUGCUAGAAUUCUGGAGAAUUUUAUCUUUGAAAAUCUUUAAAAUGUUGCAUGAUGAGUUCCUGUAUGAUGAGAGUUUAAAUUCCUACCACAGCCAUAUAUACAUGCUUUUUAGACUUUGAGCCACACAUUUAUUAUUUACUGCUUAUGAGCAUUGAGUGUGGUCAAGCUGUGUAGACCCUUAGGAGCUUGUCAUGUGGUUAAAUCAAGAUUCACUUGCACGUUCACUCAUAUAUAUGCUACUUCUACUCCGGAAGUACCAUCCACAUAUAUCCAUUCAUUUCCAUCUCCAGAACCACCUAAAAAUAUUCUACUCCUAAUCCAGGAGAGAAUAACCAAAAAUAUUUCUAUUUUCCCCUUGUGAAAUAAAUGCUCAAGUUAUCUUGUUACUACCACUUGCUCAAGAGAUGAGUGCUCUAAAAAAAAUAUACGAGGAAAUAAAAAGGAGCAAGUGCUCGGAACCUCGAAAGAAAAGAAAAAGUGAGACGAGAGGUAAAAAUGGACAAGUGUCCGACAGUAGAAUUAGGGGUGCAAGAUACCCACCUGAGAGACAAAAGAAAAAAAAAGAAAGAAGAAGAAGAGCAUCUCAUUCUCCUCAUAAAGUUUCAAAAGCAAGGAAGGUAUGUAUCCCCUCAAAAGAGCAAAAGUAGAAUUAGACUUCCACCACCAUUGUUUUCACCAUUAUUAUCACAAUCAUCACCAUACACCAUUCAUUCGCCACACAUGCACAUCUUGAUUUGGCUUAUUGAUUUGUUUCUUUGGAUCCAUGGUUUGACUAUGCAAUAAAUGUCUUGUAAAUAUGUAUACUUUAUCUCCCACCUAUGAGCUCCAGAUAUUAAAGCCUUAUUAGAGUAGGGUGAGAGAGAAGGCAAUGUCACUAUGCCUCAUACCACAAAUACUACAUAUCUUGAGAGAAGGCAUAUACCAUCAAUGCCUUGGUAAGGAUCCAAAAAUACCACAAAAGAGAGACCUGAGAGAAUCAUACAAGGAAUUUCUGAGUUUUAUUUGAAAAUCUGCAAAAACCCCCAGAGCUAUAGCUGAUCAAGAAUAAGAGACAUGACACUUGACUAGACUGUUCUAUCUUUUAACUACUCAAGACAGAAGUGACAGUUACAAGUCCCAUGGUGAAGGUAAAGUAAGUAAGUUUUAAGUCUUGACAGUUUACUCUUACUCAGAGAUGAGAUCUUAUUUAAAAGCAUAUGUACCGUCAAAUUUUUUAAAAAAAUAUUGCAACAACUUAUGAUCCAUAGCUGAGUCUAUCUUUGCUCAGGGACGAGCAAGAGGUAAGCUUGGGGGAGUUUGUUGACGGUCCUUAAGUAUCAAAUUUAAUUAUCAAAUAAAUAAAGAAAAGGAUCCAAAUGAAAUCAAGAUCUAGACUUAGGGUUUUAUCUGACAGAAUUCCACGAGUUUUGGUGUUUGUCUAUUUCUGCAGGGGGUUAUCAGGAAAUAUGGAAGAAAGGCCCACAUGUCAGGAUUAUGUAAAGAUAUUAACGUGCUGCGCAAUUAUCUUACAUCUAGAAGACUCCAGAAGCCACGAGACCGAAGCGGAGGCGAAACGGGGCCUGACCCUGGGCGGCCGCCCAGUUGGUCAGGGCACCCGCCCUGCCCCUGAGUCCAAUUAGGACUCUGCUUUGCGGGAGAUCUCCACCGACCUAAAGGAUGAAUCUAAACCGUACAAUCUAUGUCGGUUUGAUCCAAGGGCCCAUAUUCACUUGGAGGGACUAUAAAACCAGACCCCCUGGCCCCUGGAGGAGGGAGCCUCUCAACCCUAAUUCAUUGUUCCAUCAAGGGAGAAGAAGCCUCUGAUCAAGAUUAGAGCCACCACAUCAAUUAGAUAUCUAGAUUAGCAUAGCUACAUAGG
This 19759-nucleotide long non-coding RNA is filed under the name Sorghum bicolor (sorghum). Its description in RNAcentral is "long non-coding RNA (SBIC_LNC017846)". Lineage: Eukaryota; Viridiplantae; Streptophyta; Magnoliopsida; Poales; Poaceae. The record is from RNAcentral.